Molecule: non-coding RNA, 79 nt
Filed under: Nitrosomonas sp.
Lineage: Bacteria; Pseudomonadati; Pseudomonadota; Betaproteobacteria; Nitrosomonadales; Nitrosomonadaceae
Description: c-di-GMP sequence
Rfam family: c-di-GMP-I riboswitch aptamer
About the family: GEMM was predicted in a large-scale screen for bacterial structured RNA regulatory elements. Genes associated with GEMM are involved in a diverse array of functions, including chemotaxis regulation, signal transduction, secretion and chitin.
Source: RNAcentral
CAAAGUUAAUGCCACCCUUACUGCAAAGUAAGUCCGGAAAGCCAACGGAUCUCUUCAUUGAGAUGGCCGGGUUGCCUCU